AAAGGGUGCGUAUGCGGGCAGGUAAGUCAGUGGUGAAAUCCUGGAGCUCAACUCCAGAACUGCCAUUGAUACUAUCUGUCUUGAAUAUUGUGGAGGUAAGCGGAAUAUGUCAUGUAGCGGUGAAAUGCUUAGAUAUGACAUAGAACACCCAUUGCGAAGGCAGCUUACUACGCAUAUAUUGACGCUGAGGCACGAAAGCGUGGGGAUCAAACAGGAUUAGAUACCCUGGUAGUCCACGCCCUAAACGAUGGAUACUCGACAUACGCGAUACACUGUGUGUGUCUGAGCGAAAGCAUUAAGUAUCCCACCUGGGAAGUACGUUCGCAAGAAUGAAACUCAAAGGAAUUGGCGGGGGUCCGCACAAGCGGAGGAGUAUGUGGUUUAAUUCGAUGAUACGCGAGGAACCUUACCUGGGCUAGAAUGCUGGGAGACCGUGGGUGAGAGCUCACUUUGUAGCAAUACAUCUGCCAGUAAGGUGCUGCAUGGCUGUCGUCAGCUCGUGCCGCGAGGUGUUGGGUUAAGUCCCGCAACGAUGCGCAACUCCCUAUCAUUAGUUUGCCAAUCUGGUUAAGUCUGUGAACUCUAAUGAAAUCUGCCGCCGUAAGGUGUGAGGAAGGAGGGGAUGAUGUCAAGUCAUCAUGGCCUUUAUGCCCAGGGCUACACACGUACUACAAUGGGGGAGACAAAGGGCUGCAACAUAGCGAUAUGAAGCCAAUCCCAAAAACUCCCUCUCAGUUCAGAUUGCAGGCUGCAACUCGCCUGCAUGAAGCUGGAUUCGCUAG
RNAcentral lists this ribosomal RNA (782 nucleotides) under uncultured bacterium. RNAcentral's name for it is "bacterial SSU rRNA". It matches the Rfam family "Bacterial small subunit ribosomal RNA", at positions 562 to 1338 of the family's 1533-position model. The record is from RNAcentral.